Molecule: RNA transcript, 1732 nt
Organism: Lycium ferocissimum
Lineage: Eukaryota; Viridiplantae; Streptophyta; Magnoliopsida; Solanales; Solanaceae
Gene name: F-box/kelch-repeat protein At3g23880-like
Exons: 3
Source: RefSeq, a predicted model, not a curated record
AGUGGGUUACUUGGGGAAAAAAUUGAGCACAGAGAAAAACGAAGGAAAAAAAUUCAGCUGGUAGUCAAAACUCAAAAUUUUCUUAGCCCUAAUGGAAUCCAAGGGAGAUGAAGCCUCCCAUCAACACCCAAAACAAAGCAAACCCACAAACCAUUCUCCAUUUCCAUCAACUUCAAUCCAAGAAUCUGCCUUAACAAUUUCUAUUCUGCCCCAAGAACUCAUCACUGACAUACUCUUAAAGCUACCAGUGAAACCCCUCUUGAAAUUCAGGUGUGUUUCAAAAUCUUGGCUUGCUUUAAUCUCUAGCCCUCAAUUUGUCAAGACCCAUCUCAGUAUAUGUGCUAAUGACAAGGACUACACCAACCAUAGGGUUGUUUUGAAAGUAAAUUCACCUGAGUUCAAUCUCAAGGACUGUUCCCUUAACUCUUUGCUUUAUGACCCUGUUACCGAGGCAUUUGACUUGGGUUAUCCUAUGAAAAAUCCCCGAAAACCCCUUAGAUCUAUUAGGAUUGUUGGUUCUGUCAAUGGGUUGAUUUGUCUUGUCAUCGGGGUAAAUGACUUCUUUCUGUGGAAUCCAUCUAUUAGGAAGUUCAAGAAAUUGCCUGAUCCUACAGAUGGUUUCUAUAUCAUGUAUGGUUUUGGAUAUGAUGAGUUUCAUGAUGAUUAUAAGGUAGUGGCUAUUUGCAAUAAUCUGAGAUAUAACGGUUCACAUCAUGUUGAGGUCAAAAUAUAUAGUCUAAAAAGUGAUUCUUGGACAAGUACCUAUGAGUGUUGGAGUGGUGGGGUGCUAUCCACUAGGUGGGGUACUCUUGUGAAUGGAAAGCUUCAUUGGACUACAACAACUACUACUACUCGUGUUGGUGUGAAUAAUCCUAAGGACAUCAUUUGUAUUGAUUUGGCUGAUAAGAAAUGGGGAAAGGUGGAGCAACCUUGCUAUGGAGAAGGAGAUUUUAAUUGUACGUUGUCCUUGGGAGUGUUGGGAGGUGAUCUUGCUUUGUUUUAUGAUUAUCUGAGAACUCACGCAGAUGUGUGGGUUAUGAAGGAGUAUGGGGUUAAAGAAUCUUGGACAAAGAUGCUUACAAUCAAUUAUCCCAAUGAUCCUACGGCGUAUCUGUUUCUUCAUACCUUUUGUAUGUCAAAUAAAGGAGAAAUUUUGUUUGAGUUUGGAUCAUCUUUCGUGGUUUACAAUCUAAAUGAUAACUCGAUCAGAAAUCCAGAGAUUACCAACUGUAAUUUCAUUAGGCAGGCAAUCAUCUAUAUUGAAAGCCUAGUUUGGCCUUUACUGGAUAAGGAACCAAUAAUUCAACAGCAAUGAAGACUGGAAAAGGUUCAGAUACAAGAUGUUACCAAAAUUGAAACAGAGCAACGGCUUAUUCAAAUGGUUGAAACUGAAUUGGAGCAGAGGAAGCAAAGCUGUGCAUAUAAAGGUUGGCAACUUGGCUGCCCCAGUUGAAGAAUGGACGGUUCUAUGCCAGAAAGGGGUGUUGUCAAUGUAUUUAAUCUAUACUGUGGUUUCAGGUUCUUAAUCAAUUAAUGAAUGAGUUGAAAAGAUUGCACCCUCUGAAGCUAUUGCUUGAGUCUGGUCUUUCCAAAGUAUUUAUUCUAAAUUCUUGUUUUUCAUCCAAACUUCUUUCAGUGUAAUUGUAGCUUUUCUGAUUGAUUAUUUAAAUUUUCAUUUUUAUUAGCUUAUGAUUGGUGUGACGAAUAAUACUUAUAAAUGACUUCUACAAUA